AUAUUUAUAUUUAUCUACUAGGGAGUUAAAAUGGAUCUGUGGUAAUAAGAAUUUAGUCUGAAUCAGUUCAAAAACUUAGUCCUGUGACCAGUCAAAAUUUUUGAGCAUCUGUAUACAAGUUUCUGACCCAUCAAAAGAGAUACAUUUCCUUUACCAUUGGGAAUAUUUAGACCUCUCAGGGAAAAAUGAAUCUGUGUUUUCUCUCCCCAGAUUAUCUGCUGUAGCAUGAAUUGUGAGGAGAAGCAGAGUCCCAUCACCCUACCACGAAUGGAGACCACAGUGACAAGAAGAAUAUCUGCAGUCCUCCUUUGCUGAUCAGGGAUAGCCCAACAGAGAAUGUGUUUCUGCUUUCAUAGACACAUCAGUCCUUGGAAAUGGGGAGCCUUGGUAACCCUUUUGCUUGGAAAUGGCUAGGAAAUGGAGGGCUGAAAAGGCCGCUUGUUUUGUCAACGAAGCAAGAAGAGGAAGAAGGAGGAGAGGAGGAAGAAGAAGAAGAGAAAGAAGAAAGAUAAGAUAUCAAUAUUAUAUAUAUAUAGAGAGAGAGAGAGAUGGAAAGUACAAGUUUCAAAAUGAUUUACGUGCAGAUUGAUCUCACCUGCUUCUGAGACUCAGGAGGAUUCCUAGUCCACGAUCAUUUUUAUUAUUUUAUAUUUUUGACCUAAUUUGGGAUAAGCAAAAUGUAAAAUGCACAAAUUUCUUGUCUGUCAGGUAACUGAUGGGUUCCUAGCAGUAACUGGGACUUGUUACUUGUGUUUUAAACGUAUACACACACAACCACAAAAAGCAGGGGCCCAGGACUCUCUCUCCCUCUCUUUCUCUCAGAGACUUUUUUUAUAGCCCAGUAUAUUAAAUAUACUGCAUUUUAAACGUAUAUUUUUCUGAGGCUGCCAAUUUGUCACAACCUCCAUUCCAUCAAGAGAAGUUAUAUCAUUUUUUGCUCUGCAGGCUAAGCAGUUUCAGACCAUCUUGGUGCCUGGAUGAAAGAUGUUCCCUCUGAGUCAGCAGCGUGCUGUUCCAGCAUUUUGCAAGGGGUUUUCUCCUAUUGGCAAAGCCAGGUAAAAUGUGGUCCGGGCUGUCUGGGGCUGUCUGCCUGCUGAGUACAUGCAGCUGUCUUUGUUUGAUGGGUCUGGGAAUGCUGCCUCUGAAUAUCA
This 1151-nucleotide long non-coding RNA is filed under the name Anas platyrhynchos platyrhynchos (common mallard). RNAcentral describes it as "lncRNA (ENSAPLG00000021247.1)". The record is from RNAcentral. Lineage: Eukaryota; Metazoa; Chordata; Aves; Anseriformes; Anatidae.